GAGCGCAAAUGUUAGACGAUCCUAUCAGCCCGCCGCGUGUGUAUAAGGCCUUAGGUUGUAAGCCCUUUUCUGGGGAAGAAGGAUCGUGGGAGGAAACGCCUUGCAUGAUGACCUGAACCCGCGAAUAAGCCCCGGCCAACUUCGUGCCCGCAGCCGCGGGGUAAAUAAAA
Molecule: ribosomal RNA, 170 nt
Filed under: uncultured Spirochaetota bacterium
Lineage: Bacteria; Pseudomonadati; Spirochaetota
Description: uncultured Spirochaetes bacterium partial 16S ribosomal RNA
Source: RNAcentral